Podarcis muralis (Common wall lizard) is the source of this 2069-nucleotide non-coding RNA. The record is from RefSeq and is a predicted model, not a curated record. Lineage: Eukaryota; Metazoa; Chordata; Lepidosauria; Squamata; Lacertidae.
GCAACAGCUAUAGAAGCAGGUGUGGGGAUUUGUCGCGCUGUAGAAUCUCCAGCACAAUUAAGGUCUCUUCAUUUUCCCUCUGUUCACAUUAUUAGCUUACACAUGAGUGCAUUAUUAGCAAGUAACAAAGCCAAACGGGCCCGACAUGGAAGGAGUUGGAGAUAGGGUUCCCCCACUACAGCUGAAAGAUCUGCAGAUGGAAUGCAGUGCCUGAAGUAUCCACUAGGCUUCAUUGUUCAAAUAAUUAGGGAACAGAUGAGGCGUUUUUCUCAUGCAAUAUGAACUGUCAAAAUAAUGGACAGGGUUAAGGGCACCAACCUGUAAGAGAUGCAGAAGAAUAUAUGAUUUUAUUUCAUGUGGAAGUCUUCAUCAUAGGAACUGAAAUUAGGUGAGUUAUGACAGCUGUGUGGAGAGUUGAGAAACAGGAGGGAGAUAUCAGCAUGUUUGGUGGAAAUCUAAAGUUUAAAGCAGUAGAAAAAAUAUUGAGAACCUAAGAAGGAACACCCAGCCAGCCAGCAGCUUAAUGAGGACCAGCAUGUUUUCUGGCUACAGAAUACAAUGCACUUUCGGGAGAUGGGCCCAAGGCACUUUUGCGCCCCCCCCCCAAUGUAUCAUCUCUGGCCCCUGACUCUUUGCAACAUCAUGCAUGUGACAUCAGGCUGUUGCGUUGGGCCCCCUCAAUCAGCUUGAGAAGAUGGUGCCUCUGAUCCCUGGCAUCUCCCGGUACACCUAGGAGCAUCCCUGGUCUGAAAGAGUUUCAGAGCAAACAAUACUGAACUCGCUGGACCAAGGGUCUGACUUUUAAUAGGUAGCAUCUUAGGUUUCUAAAUAUGUUAAAUAUAUACUAUCAGGUUUUGUUUUUCUCAUGUACCUCAAUGUCUGGCCAUGUUUAUGAGAGCUGCUGACUAUGGUGCACAAGAAAACAAGAUGUAUAAUGAGUUCUGUCCUAUUAGACUUUGAAACUGAAAACUCUUGAUAGUUGGCUAAGAAAACACAGCUGUUGUUUUCAAUGGUCAGGAAGAGACUGGAAAGAACAUCACACAAGUGGGUGGACUAGAGAAAUGGCAAAGCUAUAUUAUUGGGUAACCACUGGAAAUGAUGGAUAGCUUCGAGCUAAUUCUACUUACACUUGUUCUUGCCUACUUAGGAGAUGAUAAAAUGUGGGUGGUAGGUGGUAACUAGGCAGAAAUCCUUGCAUCCUAUAGAAACUAACCAGGAACUAGGCCCACUGUACCAGAAAGGCUGUGCACUUUAUUGUGGCAUAAACCAUUGCAGGCUGGAGCCCAUUUCAUAAGAAGAGUAACAACGUUGACCCAAGCCUAAGGCAGCUGCUUCAGAUUGCCUCAUGGGUGGGCCAGCCCUGCUGAGUAGUACUAGCACUGGAUGCAACACACAGUUUUUAAUAAAACUAAGGGAAUAUUCACAAAUAUUUGAAAUUUCCAGUUUUGCCAUACCUAAAGCACAAAGACAUUUGUAGGACAUUAAAGGCAAGCGAGUCUAUCAUGGCAUAAGCUUUCAUGGACUCAUGUCCACCUCAUCCCUUCUAGAAGCUUUUUUGACCAUGACAUUUUGAACUCACAUUCAGAAUAUGAAAUUCUUCCAUAGGUUUUGCAGUUUGAGUGCUUAGACUUGUUGCCACGUUAUGACGGUUGUGACAUCUCUUUAGCCAUAUGGAAUCUCAUCAACUGUUUGCUUUCGAAAGCCAACAAAUUCUAGAAGGGUACCAAUGCUAGCCUGCUCCAGCAAAACAGAAUCCAUCCUUUGUACCCAUGUACAGCCUGCUUGUUGGCAGCACCCAUGUCCAAGAUGCUGCUUGACUUAAUGGGGCCCAGCCUUCUCCAGCAGUCUCAUCCUGCUAUGGAACAGGGGAGGCUCAGGUCAUCCAGGGUCUUGGAGUUCUCAGAGUGAGAAGAUGACAGCGCCACAUUCACAUAUCCCAAAGAUUCCUCUGCUAGCAGCAUCACUGGGGCUGGGUUUGCAUGUCAUUCCUUUUCCUCACCACCACCUGGUGAAGAGGAAUCUGACUCCUGGUUCCUGACUCCCACAGGAAGUCAUGCAUCUCUUUAGAU